Molecule: unclassified non-coding RNA, 254 nt
Filed under: Anthostomella sp.
Lineage: Eukaryota; Fungi; Ascomycota; Sordariomycetes; Xylariales; Xylariaceae
Description: partial contains 5.8S ribosomal RNA, internal transcribed spacer 2, and large subunit ribosomal RNA
Source: RNAcentral
CGCACAUUGCGCCCAUUAGUAUUCUAGUGGGCAUGCCUGUUCGAGCGUCAUUUCAACCCUUAAGCCCUGUUGCUUAGCGUUGGGAGCCCGCCGGCCCCGGGCCCGCGGCUCCCUAAAGUUAGUGGCGGAGUUAGCGUAUACUCUAGGCGUAGUAAUCAUCAUCUCGCCUCUGUAGCUGCGCUGGCGCCUGCCGUAAAACCCCCUAUUUUAUACUGGUUGACCUCGGAUCAGGUAGGAAUACCCGCUGAACUUAA